This is a long non-coding RNA of Arvicola amphibius (Eurasian water vole), 2329 nucleotides long. RefSeq lists it as uncharacterized. The record is from RefSeq and is a predicted model, not a curated record. The transcript has 3 exons. Lineage: Eukaryota; Metazoa; Chordata; Mammalia; Rodentia; Cricetidae.
UCCCAAAUAGUUCACUGUCUCAGGCCCUCUCCAGUCCAAGCUGCUGGCUCAGUCCUGCUACCAUGGAGCUCACCACCUCAGGCCUGCUCCAGCCUAGGUUGCUGGCCCAGUCUGGCUUCUGCAAAUGUCCCUGGUCUGGAUCCUCUCCUACUCCUGUGGAGUUAACCGUCCCAGCCUGUUCCAGCCCAGGUCACUGGUCUUCCUAUUCUUGUGGAGUUCACUGCCUCAGGCCUUCUCUGGCCUAGGUCACUGGCUCAGUCCUUGGUCCUACUUUUAAUAACUGUUAGCAGUCUUAGCUCCACUUCUUACUGUUCACAGCCUGAAUCCCAGGAACAGCUGCUAUUUGGUGACCUCAUGUAGGCUAUCCAACAGUGUUCUCCCAAGCCCACUCAUCCCAAAGUCUCUUGUGAUGUCCUUGUCUUACUGUGACCAGGCCACCUUAAAUCUCUAUUAUUUGUCCAAGAAGCCACAUCCAGUGUUCUGGAAUAGGUAGAGUGUCUUAGUCCAUUUUCUGUUAUUAUAACAAGGCAUCUUCAUUAAAAAGAAGAAAUCUAGUUAAUUUACCAUUCUAGUAGCUAGAGAAUCCAAAUAGCAUGGACCCUGACCCUAGCAAGAGGCUUCUCUCUGCUCACAACACGGCAAAGAAGCAGAAAGGGAGCUGGCUACAUGCAGAAGGGUUCAACUGUGUAGUGUGGCCUUGCUUUAUAGUAAUUUACUAUAAUUUAUAAUAAUAAUUUAUAAUAAUUUAUCACAGGAACCGCCCAAGAUUGCUGAGCACUCCUGGCUCACAGGCCUUUGGACUCAGACUGAAUUCUUCCAUUGUUCUUCAGUUUUGCAAACAGUAAAUCUUGGGAAUCUCAGCCUCCAUGGCCACAGAAUUCUAUUAUCAUGACAAGACUCCAUGUAUGUGGGGAAAGAAAACAUCCUGUACAUUUGUACAUAUUGUUCGUGACCACAGAGAAAUCUGGAAGGAUGAAUUCCAUCUGGCUGAUGGUAUGGGAUGGACAGCAUUUCUGUAGCCCUCAAGCCCGGUGUCCUAGGAUGGCAUCAGGGUCAUGCACUCAAGGGAUGCAGCAGUGGCUGAGGUACCUUCUAAAUGUCCAGCGGCCACGAGAUCCAGGAUGCCAGUGAUCUCAUUGAAGAGGUGGGGCAGGGAAAGCCAGAGUGCGUUCUUGGCCAGAAAGAUUUCAAAGUGAACCCCCAGAGAACGUGCAGCUGAGAAGUUAAGGAAGAAAAACCUGAAAUGUGUUCACAGCAGCCUGAAGCAAUUUAAGCGAGAAGGGGAGGGGGCUUGCCUGAGAGCUAGGCAUGGAAAUUAUUUCCCCCUUUAAUGCAGAUGGAUGAAAAUGAGAAAGCUGCAGUCCCACGAGGAAAUCCAGCCGAACGGAAGGGUCUCUGAGCAUGCCCAGCAAGUAGACAUUAUCUCCCCAGCAAACAGAUGUGCCUGGAGGUGUGUACAAACGACUCAGAAGGGGCGGAAGAAGUGCAGGGUAACGCUGAUGCCUUCCCCUCUGACUUUCAGCUCCUCCACUUGCCAGUCUCCGCUGCAUGCAAAGUCCUUCUGUGCACGUCUAAGUUAGCACACCCGUAGGUACAGUUCAGUGCAAAUGGCACACAGUGCUAUGCACCUGGCUUUCUACAAAUUAGGAUCUUCUUUCCUGGGAUGAACUCUAAUUUAUUAAGCCAGGUCCCUACCGGGGAUCACUGGACUGCGUCCAGUGGUCUGCUCUAAUGUACAAGUCAUGAAAGCCAAUGCUAAUGUCAGUAUCUGGGAUAUAUUUCCAAGGCCCCUUUACAUCACUGAGCUGAGGCUAGAAUAUAGGGCAUGCUUGUCAUGAUCAGUUUUCUAGGUCUAGAAAAUGCCUGGAGGAAAAUAGGAAAUGUGCUCGGUGUUCCCUAAAGCAGAGCAUUGGCCUUUCCGUUCUGGGAACAGGAUUGCAGGUGAUCCAGGGCCCUCCAAGCCUCCACCUGGAGAGGUGACAUCCAAAGAUGCCUUCACUUGAAGGAAAGAUGAUUGAUUUAUCUUCACCAAACAAAGCAAACACCAUUCUUCCUUCUCCACAAAUGAUUUAGGAACUUAAAAUUGAACCCUUGGAAAGCAUCCAUCACAAAGAGGCUAAAACCAGCAUGACUGCAGAACUCGGAGUGGCAAUCCCAGCGGGACACACCGAGAGCUGGACCACCACCAUGGCUGGAAAUCUGAGUGGGUGUCAGAGAGGAGAUGUGAACUCCUGUAACACGCAGAACUGCUAAAAAUUCCUGGGACAUUUCCUUCCCCAAUAAGCUAUCACACAGCAAAGCUGUCUCUGACAGGGCUGAAGUCCCGUGG